GGCAAGAUGGCCGAGUUGGUUAUGGCGUGAGGUUAAGGUCACCUUAACACCUAAUUUCCUCAUGGAGCAAUCCGCGUGGGUUCAAGUCCCACUCUUGUCA
RNAcentral lists this transfer RNA (100 nucleotides) under Rostrohypoxylon terebratum. RNAcentral describes it as "tRNA-Leu". It matches the Rfam family "tRNA". Rfam says of the family: Transfer RNA (tRNA) molecules are approximately 80 nucleotides in length. The record is from RNAcentral. Lineage: Eukaryota; Fungi; Ascomycota; Sordariomycetes; Xylariales; Hypoxylaceae.